UACGUAGGGUGCAAGCGUUGUCCGGAAUUAUUGGGCGUAAAGAGCUCGUAGGCGGUUUGUCGCGUCGAAUGUGAAAACCCGGGGCUCAACCCCGGGCCUGCAUUCGAUACGGGCAGACUAGAGUUCGGUAGGGGAGUCUGGAAUUCCUGGUGUAGCGGUGAAAUGCGCAGAUAUCAGGAGGAACACCGGUGGCGAAGGCGGGACUCUGGGCCGAUACUGACGCUGAGGGGCGAAAGCGUGGGGAGCAAACAGG
This 253-nucleotide ribosomal RNA is filed under the name uncultured bacterium. RNAcentral's name for it is "partial 16S ribosomal RNA". It matches the Rfam family "Bacterial small subunit ribosomal RNA", at positions 524 to 776 of the family's 1533-position model. The record is from RNAcentral.